CGCACGGGUGAGUAACACGUAUCCAACCUGCCGUCUACUCUUGGACAGCCUUUCUGAAAGGAAGAUUAAUACAAGAUGGCAUCAUGAGUUCACAUGUUCACAUGAUUAAAAGGUAUUCCGGUAGACGAUGGGGAUGCGUUCCAUUAGAUAGUAGGCGGGGUAACGGCCCACCUAGUCUUCGAUGGAUAGGGGUUCUGAGAGGAAGGUCCCCCACAUUGGAACUGAGACACGGUCCAA
Molecule: ribosomal RNA, 237 nt
Filed under: uncultured bacterium
Lineage: Bacteria
Description: partial 16S ribosomal RNA
Rfam family: Bacterial small subunit ribosomal RNA
Source: RNAcentral